UUAUUUUUCCUGAAUUACCUGGAUAAUUACCUCAAGCCUAAUAAGUUGGAAAGAAGCCAGAGCCACAUUCUGAUGGUUUUAUGGCCCCUCCACAAUGUGUUCUUAUUGAAAGGUCCUGAUUGGGAGAAAUGAGCUGUUGAAGAUUGUGACUUCCUUAUUUCCCACAGGAGGCCCCAUUAGGCAUCUGGGGAAGAUAACGGUUUCUAAUGGUCAGGCUCCUGCGACUGUUGAAAGCUCCUCCAGGCUGAGGGACACAGCUGUCCUGGAUUCCUGACCUGUUCUGCGUGUCUCUGGGAGUCGUCACCCGGCUAAUGAGCCUUCCUCUUCUGCAAUUGUAUACACUUUGUGCUGAGUUUUAAGAUCUGCAAGACAAGCCCUGCCUCCCACGCAGGAUAUUUGAGGAGGGAUGCAGGUGAAGGAGAUGCUUUGCAUGUGCCCAGGAUAUUCCCAGCCUCUGUGCCCACCUUGCCAUAGAGCUUGGAAAAGUAAGCUGCCAGGUGCAAUGCAGCUUUCUGCUUAUGGCCUGGGAAAGCAGUGGAAGAUGGGCCAAAUCCUUGGGCCCCUGCACCUGUGUGGGAGACCCAGAAGAAGCUCCUGGCUCCUGGCUUUGGAUUGACUCAGCUCUAGGUUCUGGGGCCAUGUGGGAAGUGAAUUAGUGAAUGGAAGAUCUCUCUCUCUACCUCUUUCCCCCUCUGUCUGUAACUCUGCCUCUCAAAUAAGU
This is a long non-coding RNA of Oryctolagus cuniculus (rabbit), 721 nucleotides long. RefSeq lists it as uncharacterized. The record is from RefSeq and is a predicted model, not a curated record. Lineage: Eukaryota; Metazoa; Chordata; Mammalia; Lagomorpha; Leporidae.